AUACGGAGGGGGUUAGCGUUGUUCGGAAUUACUGGGCGUAAAGCGCACGUAGGCGGACUGGAAAGUUGGGGGUGAAAUCCCGGGGCUCGACCCCGGAACUGCCUCCAAAACUUCCAAUCUAGAGAUCGAGAGAGGUGAGUGGAAUUCCAAGUGUAGAGGUGAAAUUCGUAGAUAUUUGGAGGAACACCAGUGGCGAAGGCGGCUCACUGGCUCGAUACUGACGCUGAGGUGCGAAAGCGUGGGGAGCAAACAGGAUUAGAUACCCUAGUAGUCC
Molecule: ribosomal RNA, 274 nt
Filed under: uncultured bacterium
Lineage: Bacteria
Description: partial 16S ribosomal RNA
Rfam family: Bacterial small subunit ribosomal RNA
Source: RNAcentral